UUGGUAUCAUACGGGACUAAACUCCUCAAUUUAUCCAAAUUACAGAUGUGUUUCAGGCAGUGCUAUUUUCCAGAAGCUAUCUAGUCAACAUGUCUCAACCCUGACCUACUUAUGGCACUUCCAAAGAUGAAUGCAUUUUUCAGACUCCUAAUCCUUUCAACCCCUGGUUUCU
This 172-nucleotide small RNA is filed under the name Numida meleagris (helmeted guineafowl). RNAcentral describes it as "TUC338 (ENSNMEG00000008868.1)". Lineage: Eukaryota; Metazoa; Chordata; Aves; Galliformes; Numididae. The record is from RNAcentral.